Molecule: ribosomal RNA, 729 nt
Filed under: uncultured bacterium
Lineage: Bacteria
Description: bacterial SSU rRNA
Rfam family: Bacterial small subunit ribosomal RNA
Source: RNAcentral
GUUAAAGCCCCUUCGGGGGUGUAUAAAGUGGCGGACGGGCGAGGAAUACGUUCCUACGUACCCCGAGGUCGGGGAUAGCCCGGGGAAACCCGGAGUAAUACCCGAUGUGGUCCCGACUUCGUCGGGAUCAAAGGCUUGCCGCCUUGGGAGCGAGGAACGUCCUAUCAGGUUGUUGGUGAGGUAACGGCUCACCAAGCCGACGACGGGUAGCGGGUGUGAGAGCAUGACCCGCCGCAUCGGGACUGAGACACUGCCCGGACUCCUACGGGAGGCUGCAGUAACGAAUCUUCCGCAAUGCGCGAAAGCGUGACGGAGCAAUGCCGCGUGCAGGAUGAAGCCCUUCGGGGCGUAAACUGCUGUCAGGGUUUAGCAACCCAAUGAGCGAACCCAAAGGAAGGGCCGGCUAACUUCGUGCCAGCAGCCGCGGUAAUACGAAGGGCCCGAGCGUUAAUCGGAAUCACUGGGCUUAAAGCGUACGUAGGCGGGCGCGCAGGCAUCUUGUGAAAUCCCUCGGCUCAACCGAGGAACUGCUUGGUGAACCGCGCGUCUUGAGGCAAGUAGGGGCUGUCGGAACGCUAGGUGGAGUGGUGAAAUGCGUUGAUAUCUAGCGGAACGCCGAAGGAGAAAUCAGGCAGCUGGGCUUGUUCUGACGCUGAGGUACGAAAGCGUGGGGAGCGAACGGGAUUAGAUACCCCGGUAGUCCACGCCGUAAACGAUGUGCACUAGAUC